CAGGACACGACGACGGAGGAAGAAUCCAGGAUACGGAUGACCAGACCGGGAGAAGCCACCAUGUUCCCGUGCCGGAGGUCAGGGCGGCGAAGGGGGGGGGGAUGCGGGCGACGGAGCCGAGACGAAAAAAGGGAAGGCCGGCCCCGGCCCCACGGGCAUCCACGGAUGCUGCUCCAUCUCUAGGAUCAGGACCCGUAUCCUAUCACCCGCGCUGAAAACAUGGGCCCUCGGACCCAGGAGUACGCUCCAAUGAUCUCUCGCCAGGAUAUCACACUUCACGAGACAACUGACGGACACUAUCUGAUUCUUGAUAGUUCGCAGACGAAACUUUGGCGAGACUACAGAACACAUCAGCGGAGAGAGAAGCAAGCCCUCACGACCACCGCGAACGAACUCUGAAUUUAUCGAUUUCCGGCCUCAUGAUGGUCUAUUCACUGCUCAGCUGAAAAGGCGCAACUACACAUCCAGAUGCGCCCUGUCCCUCGUAUAGCCCCAUGUUUUCCAGGGCCCACGCGGGGGAUGCAGACAAGAGCUUUUAAUAGUGGAAGGGGGCAUUGUCUGACCUGCUCAUUAGCCAUUAGCCCGCUAAUCUCUUACUCCAUUUUUCAUCGCUUUCAAGCAUCCAACUGAGCUCUCGCAGAGUUCUGGAUCAAGCCUCGCAGUCGAGAUUUCACCAACCUCUUCAAUCAGUUGUGAUUUGAUUAGUUAUAUAACCGCGCCCUUUGGAAAAACCGAGCAACAAUGGUCUACGCAAUCUGGCAGAUGUUAAACAGCAAUUAAAGCUCAGCUUCGAUCACGUGACGAAAAUCAGAAGAAAAAUACUUAAG
Molecule: non-coding RNA, 827 nt
Organism: Bemisia tabaci
Lineage: Eukaryota; Metazoa; Arthropoda; Insecta; Hemiptera; Aleyrodidae
Source: RefSeq, a predicted model, not a curated record